This 739-nucleotide ribosomal RNA is filed under the name uncultured archaeon. RNAcentral's name for it is "bacterial SSU rRNA". It matches the Rfam family "Archaeal small subunit ribosomal RNA", at positions 1 to 750 of the family's 1478-position model. The record is from RNAcentral.
UUCCGGUUGAUCCUGCCGGACCCGACUGCUAUCAGAGUGGGACUAAGCCAUGCGAGUCGACGUAGCAAUGCGUGGCGAACGGCUCAGUAACACGUAGUCAACAUGCCCAGGGGACGUGGAUAACCUCGGGAAACUGAGAAUAAACCACGAUAGGUCACGAUUUCUGGAAUGGAUCAUGGCCUAAAUCUACAUGGCCCCUGGAUUGGACUGCGGCCGAUCAGGCAGGGGUGAGGUAAUGGCCCACCAAACCUAUAACCGGUACGGGCUCUGAGAGGAGAAGCCCGGAGAUGGGCACUGAGACAAGGGCCCAGGCCCUAUGGGGCGCAGCAGGCGCGAAACCUCUGCAAUAGGCGAAAGCCUGACAGGGUUACUCUGAGUGAUUUCCGCUAAGGGGAUCUUUUGGCACCUCUAAAAAUGGUGCAGAAUAAGGGGUGGGCAAGUCUGGUCUCAGCCGCCGCGGUAAUACCAGCACCCCGAGUGGUCGGGACGAUUAUUGGGCCUAAAGCAUCCGUAGCCGGUUCUGCAAGUCUUCCGUUAAAUCCAGCCGCUCAACGGAUGGGCCGCGGAGGAUACUACAGGACUAGGAGGCGGGAGAGGCAAGCGGUACUCAGUGGGUAGGGGUAAAAUCCUUUGAUCCAUUGAAGACCACCAGUGGCGAAGGCGGCUUGCCAGAACGCGCUCGACGGUGAGGGAUGAAAGCUGGGGGAGCAAACCGGAUUAGAUACCCGGGUAGUCCCAG